UACGUAGGGUGCAAGCGUUGUCCGGAAUUAUUGGGCGUAAAGAGCUCGUAGGCGGUCUGUCGCGUCUGCUGUGAAAACUCAGGGCUUAACCCUGAGCUUGCAGUGGGUACGGGCAGACUAGAGUGCGGUAGGGGAGACUGGAACUCCUGGUGUAGCGGUGAAAUGCGCAGAUAUCAGGAGGAACACCGGUGGCGAAGGCGGGUCUCUGGGCAGUAACUGACGCUGAGGAGCGAAAGCGUGGGGAGCGAACAGG
Molecule: ribosomal RNA, 253 nt
Filed under: uncultured bacterium
Lineage: Bacteria
Description: partial 16S ribosomal RNA
Rfam family: Bacterial small subunit ribosomal RNA
Source: RNAcentral